CAUUAAGUGGCUGAAAGUAAGCUUUGGUCUCUUAAACCAAUAAAUAGUAUAUUAACAAAAUACUCUUAAUGA
Molecule: transfer RNA, 72 nt
Filed under: Physopelta gutta (gutta bug)
Lineage: Eukaryota; Metazoa; Arthropoda; Insecta; Hemiptera; Largidae
Also listed under: 1 other name
Description: tRNA-Lys
Source: RNAcentral